Molecule: ribosomal RNA, 719 nt
Filed under: uncultured organism
Description: bacterial SSU rRNA
Rfam family: Bacterial small subunit ribosomal RNA
Source: RNAcentral
GCGGUGAAAUGCGUAGAAAUCGGGAGGAACACCAGUGGCGAAGGCGGCCUCCUGGGCUGCUCCUGACGCUGAAGGCGAAAGCUAGGGGAGCGAACGGGAUUAGAAACCCCGGUAGUCCUAGCCGUAAACGAUGGAUGCUGGGUGUGGGGGGUAUAGAUUCCCUCCGUGCCGAAGCUAACGCGUUAAGCAUCCCGCCUGGGGACUACGGCCGCAAGGCUAAAACUCAAACGAAUUGACGGGUCCCCGCACAAGCAGCGGAGCGUGUGGUUUAAUUCGAUGCUACACGAAGAACCUUACCUGGGUUUGACAUGCAAGUAGUAGUGAAGCGAAAGCGGAACGACCCUUCGGGGAGCUUGCACAGGUGCUGCAUGGCUGUCGUCAGCUCGUGCCGUGAGGUGUCGGGUUAAGUCCCGUAACGAGCGCAACCCUUGCCCUUAGUUAUACGUGUCUAAGGGGACUGCCCGGGACAACUGGGAGGAAGGUGGGGAUGACGUCAAGUCAGCAUGGCCUUUAUAUCCAGGGCGACACACACGCUACAAUGGCCGGUACAAUGGGUUGCCAAGCCGUGAGGCGGAGCCAAUCCCGCAAAGCCGGUCUAAGUUCGGAUUGUGGGCUGCAACUCGCCCACAUGAAGCUGGAGUUGCUAGUAACCGCGCGUCAGCCAUAGUGCGGUGAAUACGUUCCCGGGGAUGUACACACCGCCCGUCACGUCAUGGAAG